AUAUGAAAGUCACUGGCAGGAUGGAGAUUAGAGGCUGCUGGUGUAUGUUAUCCAGCUAAAAAGAGCAAUUAUUUCUUUGGCUAGGUCACUAAGACACCUAAACAUCUUCAGGACAGCAAAGAGAUUAGACAGGCUCUGCUGCAAGCCAGGAGUGUCAUGCAAUCAUGGAUGUUAGUCUCUAGAGAACUGAUAUCUUUGCUUCACCUGUCCCUGACACACAUGAAUGAAGACAGAAUGACAGUGAGUCAGGAGUCUCGGCGUGCAGAAACCCUGGUUUCCUCCUGUUCUCAUGUACUGAAGAAACUGAGGGCAAAGCUCCAGAGCCUCAGAACAGAAAGGGAGGAGGCAAAGCACAGAGAGGAGAUGGCCCUUCACGGCAAAGAUGCGGCAGAGGCAGUACUGGAGGCUUUCCGUGCACAUGCUAGCCAGCGCAUCAGCCAACUGGAACAGGAUUUUACAUCUAUGCAAGAGUUCAGAGGCCUUCUACAGGAAGCCCAGACCCAACUGGUAAUGUCAUCUCCUUUUUGUC
Non-coding RNA from Cricetulus griseus (Chinese hamster), 529 nucleotides. Lineage: Eukaryota; Metazoa; Chordata; Mammalia; Rodentia; Cricetidae. The record is from RefSeq and is a predicted model, not a curated record.